UCUAUAUAUUAUAUUAACUAUUAAAUGAAUUGUAUGUAAAAUGCGCAUAUGUUGCUAGUUACUCAUUACUUGUUAAUAGCUACAAAUACAUCCAUGUGAUGUUAUGUUGUGAUCCAUAAUGAAAUGUAUUUCAUAACUAUGAUUGUGUGCUUAUGAACUAUGUAAUUGCGAUCUAUGAUUUGUGUUUGUGAUGCCCUUUUCUACUCUGGCGUGCACCUAGGAUAAAACAAUGAGUUAAGCAAAGUAUAUAAGGGAUUGAACGAGCCCUUCUCAAUGAGAGCAUAAACCACAUUCCUCACCCAGUGUUUGAAAUAGUGUUAUAAAAUGAGUCAAAGUUGUCUUAUGUGUAAAUAAUCAAGUGUUACAUUGUGAGGAAUAAAAAGUACAUAUAUGUUGGGAAAAUGUCAAGGAAAAAGAGAAACAUAUAAAUGAUUAAAUGUGUCAAUGUGAAAAGUGUAUCAUGCAUUAUAAUAUAAUAUGCAUAAGAGAUCAUAAAUAAACCCUUGAAAUGAGUUGUGUGUGAAUUACUAAUGUCUAUAUGUUAUUAACUAGAUGUGUAUUUAUACUCAAACUCUUGUAUUUAAUAUGUUUUUCGGAUUAAAAUUUGGGGUGUCAUGAUAAAAAUCCGUUUUAAAAGUUAUUGAUAUUAGAGUCGUUACUAAUUUACAUGUAUUUUGAAGGACUAAUAUUCAACACAUAAUAAUUUUUUUUGUAAAUAUUUAUUUUUAGGACUUAAUGUAUUGAUUCCUCACAAUAUUAAAUUUAUGCAAAUAAUGAAGAACAACUCACCAAUAUGGGUUACAAUCUUUUUGUGCUACAUAUAAAAUUUGGCAAUACAUGUUCUAUGGUUUAAUUUGUUCUACCUCAAUGACUUUCUCGACCAUUGUUCUAUAUUCAAAUCUCAUCCGAUUUUCAUGAUUCUUGUUGCAAUUGAAUCACAUGCUAACCUAUUACCACAUGGAGUGGAUUGAUCUCCUCUCCAAUCAAAGCAUUCCCAUCUGAAAUUCUGGUACACAGUAGACAAGUGUUGUCCACGAUGUU
RNAcentral lists this long non-coding RNA (1041 nucleotides) under Trifolium pratense (red clover). RNAcentral's name for it is "long non-coding RNA (TPRA_LNC006067)". Lineage: Eukaryota; Viridiplantae; Streptophyta; Magnoliopsida; Fabales; Fabaceae. The record is from RNAcentral.